Nymphaea colorata (pocket water lily) is the source of this 132-nucleotide small nucleolar RNA. RefSeq annotates it as small nucleolar RNA Z247. NCBI's taxonomy places the organism in Eukaryota, Viridiplantae, Streptophyta, Magnoliopsida, Nymphaeales, Nymphaeaceae. The record is from RefSeq and is a predicted model, not a curated record. The transcript has a single exon.
CCAAUAGAUGUUGAUUAUCUAGUGAUGCAUAUCAUACAUGGUCUCCCAAAUGAUUAUAUUCCUUAUAAAACUGCCAUUAACACUAGAGUUGAGCUUGUUUCUCUUAAUGAAAUUUAUGGAUUAUUCUUGAUC